AUCAUCAUUGUUCUUGUUGUUGUUGUUGUUGUUGUUGUUGUUGUUGUUGUUGUUGUUGUUGUCGUCGUCGUGGUCGUCUUCGUCUUCAUUGUUUUUGUUGUUGUUGUUGUUGUUAUUGUUUUUGUUGUUGUAGUAGUAGUAGUAGUAGUUAUUGUUGUUGUUGCUGUUGUAGUAGGAGUAGUGGUAGUAGUUGUUGUUGUUGUGGUUGUUGUUGUCGUCGUC
Molecule: long non-coding RNA, 222 nt
Filed under: Hordeum vulgare
Lineage: Eukaryota; Viridiplantae; Streptophyta; Magnoliopsida; Poales; Poaceae
Description: long non-coding RNA (HVUL_LNC015730)
Source: RNAcentral